AUUGAACGCUGGCGGUAUGCUUAACACAUGCAAGUCGAACGGCAGCACGAUGCGUAGAAAUACGUAUGGGUGGCGAGUGGCGGACGGGUGAGGAACGAGUAGGAAUCUGCCUUAAAGAGGGGGACAACCGGAGGAAACUCUGGCUAAUACCGCAUAAUACUCUGAGGAGGAAAGGCUGGGUAGAAAUGUCUGGCGCUUUAAGAGGAGCUGGGGGCCGAUUAGCUAGUUGGUAGGGUAAAGGCCUACCAAGGCGAUGAUCGGUAGCUGGUCUGAGAGAGUGACCAGCCACACUGGGACUGAGACACGGCCCAGACUCCUACGGGAGGCAGCAGUGGGGAAUAUUGGACAAUGGGGGGAACCCUGAUCCAGCCAUGCCGCGUGUGUGAGGAAGGCCUUAUGGUUGUAAAGCACUUUAAGCGAGGAGGAGGCUCUUUUGGUUAAUACCCAAGAUGAGUGGACGUUACUCGCAGAAUAAGCACCGGCUAACUCUGUGCCAGCCGCCGCGGUAA
Molecule: ribosomal RNA, 509 nt
Filed under: uncultured bacterium
Lineage: Bacteria
Description: partial 16S ribosomal RNA
Rfam family: Bacterial small subunit ribosomal RNA
Source: RNAcentral